UACGAAGGGGGGCUAGCGUUGCUCGGGAAUCACUGGGCGUAAAGGGUGCGUAGGCGGGUCUUUAAGUCAGGGGUGAAAUCCUGGAGCUCAACUCCAGAACUGCCUUUGAUACUGGAGGAUCUUGAGUUCGGGAGAGGUGAGCGGAACUGCGAGUGUAGAGGUGAAAUUCGUAGAUAGUUCGCAAGAACACCAGUGGCGAAGGCGGCUCA
RNAcentral lists this ribosomal RNA (209 nucleotides) under uncultured bacterium. Its description in RNAcentral is "partial 16S ribosomal RNA". It matches the Rfam family "Bacterial small subunit ribosomal RNA", at positions 524 to 728 of the family's 1533-position model. The record is from RNAcentral.